UUAGGUUUUCUUCAUUUUCUUUUGAAAUUUUUCUGGGAUUUUUGUUGUUGAAGGUUGACGGAGAUGAUAUGAAGUGAAAAAGAGGAGAAG
RNAcentral lists this microRNA precursor (90 nucleotides) under Medicago truncatula (barrel medic). RNAcentral describes it as "MIR5298 microRNA precursor family". It matches the Rfam family "MIR5298 microRNA precursor family". The record is from Rfam by way of RNAcentral. Lineage: Eukaryota; Viridiplantae; Streptophyta; Magnoliopsida; Fabales; Fabaceae.